GGGAGUGUAGCUCAAUGAUAGAGUGCAUACUUAGCAUGUAUGAGGCCCUGAGUUCAAUCACCAACACCUUAA
Molecule: transfer RNA, 72 nt
Filed under: Marmota monax (woodchuck)
Lineage: Eukaryota; Metazoa; Chordata; Mammalia; Rodentia; Sciuridae
Description: tRNA.Ala
Source: RNAcentral